GGUGGGUGAUCUUACGGACACAAAUCAAGGUCUAAUACUGAGUGAGACUGAGUCAAUCUUUCUCUCCUAUUCUCAUUUUGAUGGGAUACUUGGCCUCGGAUACCCAUCUCUGUCUGUUUCUCGAGUCGCACCUUUCUUUGACAAUGUAUGGAAUGAAGGGGUGAUCCUUCAGAAUCUGUUUUCUGUUUACCUGAGCAGGUAAGAUCAUAUUUACACUCCAACUGGGCAGUGAUAACCCUGAAAUAUCACCUGAAUGAAGGAUGUGCUAAGAUGGUACGCUCAUAAAGAUGUUAUUUUUAUAUGGAUUCCAAAGAAACCUAAAGCAUUCUAUUAUACAAUGUACCCACUGUUAAUUCUGUAAGGAUUUAGGACAUGCUUAAAUUAUCCCUUAUAGCCCCUUUCUUAAUAAUCAGGCCUUCUCCCUGUGCUUUCCACCUCGAAAUUUUCACAACAUAGGAGGCAAGGAGUUUGCGUAUUUAUGAUCUCCGAGAUGUAAAUCAAGGGUUGAAUGAAAGAUGAGUUAAUAUGGAGGAUUGAAUGACGUAUGUGUGACAGAUUCCCUGUCCCUGGAUUAUUGUUUUACUUACGAACACCACUGAACUAUUUGGUUGUCGAGUGUAUGGACUAAAAUCGGCCACUCGGCGGCGCGAACACCGCUGGGACUUCCAGCCCCAAGUAUGUUUGGUUUAAUUCGACUCACUAGUGUGGUAUUCGAUAGAAACAAAUUCCGGAACAAGGGGCACACGACCAACCCUUAUACGAACAGAUAUUUUAUUAUGUUUGGUACUCCUGAAAGAGACCGACCACAAAGCCUGAAUCUAUGGAACUCUUUUGGGCAGGCGCCUUGUGUGCGGUCAGUCUAAACUAUACCCCGGUGGCGUUUUAGUUACGUUUGUGGGAUCUGAGCGCUCAGAUGCAGGCUAUCCGGGGAUAUAGAACUUGAGGGGGUACCUAAUUGUUAAAUGUCUCUUUUGGGGUGUAUUUGAUCUGUAUGUCUUGGACCUGAGAAGUAAUGUAAUUAUGUUGUGUACUUUGUAGCAGUCUACUGGGAAUGCCCCUGGAAUAUGGGGAUUCACAUAAAAGGCCGUGUGUGGUACCAUUAAAAUCAGUACCUGCUUACCCUCAACACAGAGCCUCGUCUCAUGAUUGUAGGGAAAAGCUACACCUGCUUUGGCUACCGCUUGGAUUACUGCUUAGGAAAUACUUCAGCAUUGCUCAGACUAGGGGUGUAGAAAAUUCCUCCUCACCUUGCGGUAUCUGCUGGCCGCUGCGGAUCCACACCAAAUUAUACCUCCACGUCCGCCCACAUUAAUGACGACGUUGGCUUGCGCGUGACAGCACAUUUGGGGUCAAAGGCCGUUUUUGGCCAAUCAGAACUUAAAGCACUUAUUUAAACUCAAAUUUACUUUUCCUCAUUGCCCUGCUGUGGUUUCCCUUGUGGUUGUCCGAGAGUGUUUUCCUGUGCGUUUAAAUUCAGUUUUUUAACUUUGACUUUGUUUGACUUCCCUGUAUUCUGGUAUCCCUGACUUCUGGCUUUCACUUAUCGUUGUGUCUCAUUCUGUGUCCCGUGACCUCGGUAAGCAUCCUGACUAUUCUUUGGUGUGUUAAGUCCGGCCAUUCUAAGGCCCGGUAAUACGUUACCUAUUAGUCAUCUGUGUGACACAAUCCUAUGUGCUGGAUCAACUAGUAAUCCUGACAAGGGGAAAGGACAUCUCUGGCGGCGGAAAAACCCCUCUUCUCUUGGGGUGGCCGCCACAGUAUGUUUUGAGAUGGUUUGAAUAAAGGAUGUUUUGAGAUAAAGGUUUGAAUAAAGCAUGUUUUAAGAUGAAGGUGUGCAUGAAGGAUGUUUUAACAUUAGCUCCUGAAUGAAGGAAGCGAUAGCUGUUUUGGAAUGCUGAAUCUUGUUUCCAUGGAUUCCUGAGUUGCAUUUUACUGCUAUAAAUAAAUAAAUAUUUAUAUAUUUAUGUUUACUACAUCUUAUAGUGGCACAGGAAGUACAAUCAUGUUUGGUGGCAUCGAUUCAUCACUUUACACUGGGAGUCUGCAAUGGGUACCUGUCACUGUGCAGAAGUACUGGCAGAUCACCAUAGACCGGUAAGUCAUUGUAUACACUAGAGAGUCAUGUCAUAGCUUCUACAUGCCCAACCCUGAACAUGGUUAGCAUGUAUGACAAAACUGGAUAUAUCCUCAUAGUUACAUUUUGCAAAACAAUCCAAAUUUUAAAUAUCCUCACAGCUAUGUUUAUCAAAAUAUUCAGAACUGCUGGGCUCUGGAGAGCAGAGAGUUUAUCUACCUUAUUUAUGCCCAGAUCUGCCACUGUCUAACGUGACACCAAAACCAUAAAAUAAAUGUCCACCUCUAGCAAUUAUAGGUUAUUGUCCAACAUUUCAACCACAAUUAUAGGUUAUUGUCCAACAUUUCAAUUCCCCACAUAGUACGGCACUACCUACAUAGUACGACACUUCUCACAUAGUACGGCACUACCUACAUAGUACAAUACUUCUCACAUAGUACGCCACUCCCCACAUAGUACGCCACUCCCCACAUAGUACGCCACUCCCCACAUAGUACAGCACUACCUACAUAGUACGGUACUUCUCACAUAGUACAGCUCUACCUACAUAGUAUGAUACUUCUCACAUAGUAUGUGUCAGGGUGGCGGUCCAGUGCCCGGGACCCAGAUACUGUCCGGGCGGCGGUUUGAGGACCGGGACCCAGUAUGCCUGAUGAUAAGUGGGAGUCUUCAGCGUGAGAGUGGAUAGGUCAGGGUCUGGUGCAGGGCAACCGCACGCCCCCUGGUGUUGAGCACCAGCGUUUGUGCAGCCACAUACCAGAACCCUGAUGCAGCUUAUGCGGAUCCCAAGAACUAGUAGCAGGAAUUAAGCAGACCUCCCAGGAGCUGAAUAGGGAGGCUCUGCUGCAGGGAUGUAUCCAGUACAGAAACAAGGCAAGACUAGAGAUAGACACCAAACUACCCACAUAAUACGCCACUACCCACAUAGUACGGUACUUCUCACAAGACAGAACUAGUAGAACCUAGAACCAGAGAAGGAUAUGAAGCUAAACCCAGAACAUGUACACAAUACAUAAGGGAACAUUAACUAAACAGGAGCAGGACAGGACAGGACUGUACAUGGACUGCGUUAACAAAAUAAAACAAGACAAGAGAUACAAGGUAAAACAAGAGGAGAAAUAACGAAGCACUAUAUAUGAAAAUCAUGGGGAUUUAGUUACAUUAUAUGAUCAUACAUUGCAUAAGCCUGCCACAACGCCAAUGUACCCCAUAUCUGGCAGGUCCUACACUGCCUAAUGUAUGCUAAAAUAACGAUAAGAAACACACAUAGUACUUACCUGCAAGAAAGGGCAGAAGCCAUGAGCAGCUGCCUGCAGGACAAUGAAACAAAAGGAAUGAUGGAAAACAAACAGGUGUGGCAACAUAAAACAAACAUUUAAAGGAAACCUGGAGACUGGGAAUUCCAGGGACGAAAUACAGGAAUGAACCCAGAAAAACCCAGCAUAAAGAAAACCAGACAUGGAAUAGAAAACCAGAAAAAACAAGAAAAACUAAACAAGAAUUGUAAAAAGAGUACUGGAUACCAGAAGCCAAAGCCAGAAUGAUCCGCAGCGAGGAACAGGAUGUGACAGUACGCCACUUCCUACAUAGUACGCCACUCCCCACAUAGUAUGACACUCCCUACAUAGUACGGUACUUCACACAUAGUAUGACACUCCCUGCAUAGUACGGUACUUCUCACAUAGUACGCCACUCCCCACAUUGUACGCCACUCACCACAUUGUACGCCACUCCCCACAUAGUACGGUACUUCACACAUAGUACGCCACUCCCCACAUUGUACGGUACUUCACACAUAGUAUGACACUCCCUGCAUAGUACGGUACUUCUCACAUAGUACGCCACUCCCCACAUUGUACGCCACUCCCCACAUUGUACGCCACUCCCCACAUUGUACGCCACUCCCCACAUAGUGGCACGGUAAUUCUCACAUAGUAAUGGCCACUCCCACAUUGUACGCCACUCCCUACAUUGUACCACUCCCCCACAUUGUACCACUCCCCUACAUAGUAAUGUACUUCACACAUAGUACGCCACUCCCUACAUUGUAAUGGUAUCACACAUAGUAUGACACUCCCCUGUAUAGUAAUGCACUUCUCACACAUAGUACGCCACUUCCCACAUUGUACGCCACUCCCCCACAUUGUAAUGCCACUCCCCACAUUGUAAUGCCACUCCCCACAUAGUACGCCACUCCCCACAUAGUACGCCACUCCCCACAUAGUACGCCACUCCCCACAUUGUACGACACUCCCUACAUAGUACGGUACUUCUCACAUAGUACGCCACUCCCCACAUUGUACGCCACUCCCCACAUUGUACGCCACUCCCCACAUUGUACGCCACUCCCCACAUAGUAUGACACUCCCUACAUAGUACGGUACUUCACACAUAGUACGCUACUCCCCACAUAGUAUGACACUCCCUACAUAGUACGGUACUUCACACAUAGUACGCCACUCCCCACAUAGUAUGACACUCCCCACAUAGUACGGUACUUCUCACAUAGUACGCCACUCCCCACAUUGUACGCCACUCCCCACAUUGUACGCCACUCCCCACAUAGUACGGUACUUCUCACAUAGUACGCCACUCCCCACAUAGUACGGUUCUUAAAAUAUAGUAUGGCAAUCCCUACAUAGAACGGUACUUCUCACAUAGUACGGCACUCCCCACAUAGUACGGUACUCCCCACAUUAUACGCCACUCCCCACAUAGUACGGCACUCCCCACAUAGUACGGCACUCCCCACAUUGUACGCCACUCCCCACAUUGUACGCCACUCCCCACAUAGUACGCCACUUCCCACAUAGUACGCCACUUCCCACAUAGUACGCCACUCCCCACAUAGUACGGUACUUCUCACAUAGUACAGCACUCCCUACAUAGUACGGUACUUCUCACAUAGUACGGCACUCCCCACAUAGUACGGCACUCCCCACAUUGUACGGCACUCCCCACAUAGUACGGUACUCCCCACAUAGUACGGUACUCCCCACAUUGUACGGCACUCCCCACAUAGUACGGUACUUCUCACAUAGUACGGUACUUCUCACAUAGUACGGCACUCCCCACAUAGUACGGCACUCCCCACAUAGUACGCCACUCCCCACAUAGUACGGCACUCCCCACAUAGUACGGCACUCCCCACAUAGUACGAUACUCCCCACAUUGUACGCCACUCCCCACAUAGUACGCCACUCCCCACAUAGUACGGUACUGCUCACAUAGUAUGGCACUCCCCACAUAGUACGUCACUCCCCACAUAGUACGGUACUUCUCACAUAGUACGGCACUCCCCACAUAGUACGAUACUCCCCACAUUGUACGCCACUCCCCACAUAGUACGCCACUCCCCACAUAGUACGGUACUGCUCACAUAGUAUGGCACUCCCCACAUAGUACGUCACUCCCCACAUAGUACGGUACUUCUCACAUAGUACGCCACUCCCCACAUAGUACGCCACUCCCCACAUAGUACGGUACUCCCCACAUAGUACGGUACUCCCCACAUAGUACAUAGUACGGUACUCCCCACAUUGUACGCCACUCCCCACAUUGUACGCCACUCCCCACAUUGUACGCCACUCCACACAUUGUACGCCACUCCCCACAUAGUACGGUACUUCUCACAUAGUACAGCACUCCCUACAUAGUAUGGCACUCCCUACAUAGAUCGGUACUUCUCACAUAGUACGGCACUCCCUACACAGAACGGUACUUCUCACAUAGUACAGCACUCCCUACAUAGUACGGCACUCCCUACAUAGAUCGGUACUUCUCACAUAGUACGGCACUCCCUACAUAGAAGGUACUUCUCACAUAGAACGGCGCUCCCUACAUAAUACAGCGCUCCCUACAUAAAACAGCACUCCCCACAUAGUACGGCACUCCCCACAUAAUACGACCUUCGCUACAGAGUAUGGUACUUCUCACAUAGUACAGCACUCCCUACAUAGUACAGCUCUCCCCACGUAGUACGACACUCGCCACAUAGUACGUCGCUCCCCAUGUAGUACGACACUCAUCACGUAGUAUGGCACUACUCACCACAUAGUACGGCUCUACUCACCACAUAGUACGGCUCUACUUGCCACAUUGCACGGUACUCCCCACAUAGUAUAGCGCCACUCACCAUAUAGUAUGACACUCGCCACAUAGUACAGUGCUACUCACCACAUUGUACAGUACUCCCCACAUAGUACACUACUUUCACAUAGUAUGGCGGUACUCACCUCAUAGUUCGGCUCUACUCGCCACAUUGUACGGUACUACUCACUACCUAGUAUGGCGGUACUCACCUCAUAGUACGGCACUCCCCAUAUAGUACAGUACUUCCCACAUAGUACGGCGGUUCUUACCUCAUAGUACGGCGGUACUCACCACAUAGUACGGUACUACCACAUAGUACGGCGGUACUCACCACAUAGUACGAUAUUUGCCUUAUAGUAUGGUACUCACCACAUAGUACGAUAUUCGCCAUAUAGUACGGUACUCACCUCAUUGUACGAUAUUUGCCAUACAGUACUCACCUCAUAGUACGAUAUUCACCUCAUAGUACGGUACUCACCUCAUAGUUAGAUAUUCCCAAUAUAGUACGGUACUCACCUCAUAGUUAGAUAUUCCCAAUAUAGUACGGUACUCACCUCAUUGUACGAUAUUCCCAAUAUAGCACGGUACUCACCUCAUUGUACGAUAUUCGCCAUAUAAUACAGUACUCACCUCAUAGUUAGAUAUUCCCAAUAUAGCACGGUACUCACCUCAUUGUACGAUAUUUGCCUUAUAGUACGGUACUCACUUCAUAGUUAGAUAUUCCCAAUAUAGUACGGUACUCACCUCAUAGUACGAUAUUCGCCAUAUAGUACGGUACUCACCUCAUAGUUAGAUAUUCCCAAUAUAGUACGGUACUCACCUCAUUGUACGAUAUUUGCCUUAUAGUACGGUACUCACUUCAUAGUUACAUAUUCCCAAUAUAGCACGGUACUCACCUCAUUGUACGAUAUUUGCCUUAUAGUAUGGUACUCACCUCAUAGUUAGAUAUUCCCAAUAUAGUACGGUACUCACCUCAUAGUACGAUAUUCGCCAUAUAGUACGGUACUCACCUCAUAGUACGAUAUUUGCCAUAUAAUACGGUACUCACCUCAUUGUACGAUAUUCGCCAUAUAGUAUGGCACUCACCACAUAGUACGAUAUUCCCAAUACUUACUUACUGCUCCCACUGGCUGUUUCCAUAAUGCACACUGGAAGACCCCUUAAAACAAACUCAGGUAUUCAAGUGGCAAGAUAACAUUGCAAUUAGUUAUGUAGACUAUAUAAUUGUAAUAAGGACAACAUUUUCUUCUUUAUUAAACUUCAAAAAAGAGCUUACAAAUUUCAAAAAAAUAAAUAAAUAUGGCAGAUAAUAAAAAUCGUAUAAAAUCCAUUCCAACCUAGGGGAAAGGGGGCACACAGGACACACACAAGUAGCUGAACAAUUGAGACCCCACUGCAUCUUGGAUAGCCAUGUUUACGUCCCCACUCCAGCUGUACUAACAUAGCAGACUGCUGUGGUGCCCUUCAAGCCUCCCCUUAUGUUCAGUCAUUCAGGUGCUGGCAAACUGAUCAGAGCAGUUUAGCAAGACUCUUCUCUCCUAACCCAAGGAAACAAUUUCACCCAGUGGCCAAUCUAAUCUAGGACUGUUUUGUACUAGACAAUUAUAAGACUAAGGUGGCACAAAGGAGAAGAGCUAUUACAGCAAUGUGUAAUGCUAAUGAGAAACAGAGUUCAGUAUCGGAAGUGAUGGUCAAUGAUGGUUGCAUCGAUGAGCACCGUAGUUGGACCUGGUGUUUGGAAGAGGGAUCUAACAGAAUAUGAUUGGAUGAGAGAUUGGGAUCAAGGAGAAGGCCGCCAGCCUGGGGUGGUAGUUCUGAUAUUGUAGGGAGACAGACAUGGUGGUGGUACAGGUAAAGGUUUGUUGAUUUCCUACUUUGGUGAAUAUAUAAAUUGUGAAUUAAUAUUGGAGUUGGAGAUGAUUGUUUCUGUAGUGUAUGAUGCUAAAUAUAUCUGUUCCAUCCUGUAGUAUAACCAUAAAUGACCAGAUGGUAGCCUGUCACAGCGGAUGCGAAGCCAUUGUGGACACUGGGACCUCUGUAAUUGCUGGACAUCCAGAGCCUAUUAAC
Molecule: non-coding RNA, 8233 nt
Organism: Pelobates cultripes (western spadefoot toad)
Lineage: Eukaryota; Metazoa; Chordata; Amphibia; Anura; Pelobatidae
Source: the annotation of a GenBank genome assembly